RNAcentral lists this ribosomal RNA (493 nucleotides) under uncultured bacterium. RNAcentral's name for it is "bacterial SSU rRNA". It matches the Rfam family "Bacterial small subunit ribosomal RNA", at positions 217 to 703 of the family's 1533-position model. The record is from RNAcentral.
CGCCAGAGACGGGUCCGCGUCCCAUCAGCUAGUUGGUGAGGUAAUAGGCGUCACCAAGGCGAAGACGGUAGGCUGGUCUGAGAGGAUGAUCAGCCACACUGGAACUGAGACACGGUCCAGACUCCUACGGGGAGGCAGCAGUGGGGAAUAUUGCGCAAUGGGCGAAAGCCUGACGCAGCCACGCCGCGUGAGCGAUGAAGGUCUUCGGAUCGUAAAGCUCUGUGGGGGGAGAAGAAGAAAGUCGGUGAAGAGCCGGCCCUGACGGUAUCCCCUUAGCAAGCACCGGCUAACUCCGUGCCAGCAGCCGCGGUAAUACGGAGGGUGCAAACGUUGCUCGGAAUCAUUGGGCGUAAAGCGCGCGUAGGCGGCUGAACAAGUUGGAUGUGAAAGCCCUGGGCUCAACCUAGGAUGUGCAUUCAAAACUGUUCGGCUUGAGUCUCGGAGGGGGUCAGAGAAUUCUCGGUGUAGAGGUGAAAUUCGUAGAUAUCGGGAG